GAUGAACGCUGGCGGCGUGCCUAAUACAUGCAAGUCGAGCGAACAGAUGAGGAGCUUGCUCCUCUGACGUUAGCGGCGGACGGGUGAGUAACACGUGGAUAACCUACCUAUAAGACUGGGAUAACUUCGGGAAACCGGAGCUAAUACCGGAUAAUAUAUUGAACCGCAUGGUUCAAUAGUGAAGGACGGUUUUGCUGUCACUUAUAGAUGGAUCCGCGCCGCAUUAGCUAGUUGGUAAGGUAACGGCUUACCAAGGCAACGAUGCGUAGCCGACCUGAGAGGGUGAUCGGCCGCACUGGAACUGAGACACGGUCCAGACUCCUACGGGACGGAGCAGUAGGGAAUCUUCCGCAAUGGGCGAAAGCCUGACGGAGCAACGCCGCGCGAGUGAUGAAGGUCUUCGGAUCGUAAAACUCUGUUAUUAGGGAAGAACAAAUGUGUAAGUAACUAUGCACGUCUUGACGGUACCUAAUCAGAAAGCCACGGCUAACUACGUG
RNAcentral lists this ribosomal RNA (497 nucleotides) under uncultured bacterium. RNAcentral's name for it is "partial 16S ribosomal RNA". It matches the Rfam family "Bacterial small subunit ribosomal RNA", at positions 28 to 507 of the family's 1533-position model. The record is from RNAcentral.